Molecule: ribosomal RNA, 301 nt
Filed under: uncultured bacterium
Lineage: Bacteria
Description: partial 16S ribosomal RNA
Rfam family: Bacterial small subunit ribosomal RNA
Source: RNAcentral
CAGCCGCCGCGGUAAUACGUAGGGUCCGAGCGUUGUCCGGAAUUAUUGGGCGUAAAGGGCUCGUAGGCGGUUUGUUGCGUCGGGAGUGAAAACCCAGGGCUUAACUUUGGGCUUGCUUUCGAUACGGGCAGACUUGAGGCAUUGAGGGGAGAACGGAAUUCCUGGUGUAGCGGUGAAAUGCGCAGAUAUCAGGAGGAACACCGGUGGCGAAGGCGGUUCUCUGGCAAUGUUCUGACGCUGAGGAGCGAAAGUGUGGGGAGCGAACAGGAUUAGAUACCCCUGUAGUCCCUGUCUCUUAUAA